Molecule: ribosomal RNA, 443 nt
Filed under: Paenibacillus sp.
Lineage: Bacteria; Bacillati; Bacillota; Bacilli; Caryophanales; Paenibacillaceae
Description: bacterial SSU rRNA
Rfam family: Bacterial small subunit ribosomal RNA
Source: RNAcentral
CCUACUCCUACGGGAGGCAGCAGUAGGGAAUCUUCCGCAAUGGGCGAAAGCCUGACGGAGCAAUGCCGCGUGAGUGAUGAAGGUUUUCGGAUCGUAAAGCUCUGUUGCCAGGGAAGAACGCUUGGGAGAGUAACUGCUCUCAAGGUGACGGUACCUGAGAAGAAAGCCCCGGCUAACUACGUGCCAGCAGCCGCGGUAAUACGUAGGGGGCAAGCGUUGUCCGGAAUUAUUGGGCGUAAAGCGCGCGCAGGCGGUCAUUUAAGUCUGGUGUUUAAUCCCGGGGCUCAACCCCGGAUCGCACUGGAAACUGGGUGACUUGAGUGCAGAAGAGGAGAGUGGAAUUCCACGUGUAGCGGUGAAAUGCGUAGAUAUGUGGAGGAACACCAGUGGCGAAGGCGACUCUCUGGGCUGUAACUGACGCUGAGCGCGAAAGCUAACCAGCG